AGCUCCAAUAGCGUAUAUUAAAGUUGUUGCGGUAAAAAAGCUCGUAGUUGGAUUUCUGCGGGGAACGACCGGUCCACUCAACGAGUGCGCAUCUGGCUCGGUCUCUGCAUCCUCUCGAAAGACGUUUCUGCGCUUGAUUGCGUGGUUCGGAUCUCGGGACUUUUACUUUGAGGAAAUUAGAGUGUUCACGGCAGGCUAUCGCCAGAAUACAUUAGCAUGGAAUAAUACUAUAGGAUCUUGAUCCUAUUUUGUUGGUUUCUAGGAUUUUGAUAAUGAUUAAUAGGGACAAUUGGGGGCAUUCGUAUCAACACGUCAGAGGUGGAAUUCUUAGAUUGUGUUGCGACGAACUACUGCGAAAGCAUUUGCCAAGGAUGUUUUCA
RNAcentral lists this ribosomal RNA (380 nucleotides) under uncultured eukaryote. RNAcentral describes it as "SSU rRNA". It matches the Rfam family "Eukaryotic small subunit ribosomal RNA", at positions 587 to 972 of the family's 1831-position model. The record is from RNAcentral.